Molecule: long non-coding RNA, 3302 nt
Organism: Amphiprion ocellaris (clown anemonefish)
Lineage: Eukaryota; Metazoa; Chordata; Actinopteri; Pomacentridae
Exons: 3
Source: RefSeq, a predicted model, not a curated record
CUCGGCUGUGACGUCACUCUAGUGGGCGGAGACUGAGGACUUGAACCCGGAAGUUGUACAACAGGUAACAGCAGCUGAGGAAAUUUGAUUUAGGUUCUUGAACUGGAGUUUAUGGUGUUUAGAGGAGACACUGAUGGAGGCCUAGAGGGUACACGACAGGCCGAUGCCGGAUGUGAGGCCUUCCAGAGCUGGAGGAGGAUUUAGAAGAUCAGAUCUUUAUAUUCCCGGAGGAGCUGGAGUUGGUGGACGGACGAAAUUUGCAGAGCCUAAACGCCAUACGUUUUCUGAUGUGAUCUGAAGACAUGAACGGACGUAACCGAAACAAAUCAAAAGUUCUUGAUGAUUUAUGCCGCUUGAAGAUUGGAUUUGACUGGCUGCAAGCUCUUAGUGGAUUUUAAAACUGUGUGAGGUGGAUGAAGGGAUUUUGGUUGGCGCUCGAGAUUUAGGACAAAUCGUAUAUAAAAAAACUGCAAGGUUGGCCCGCUUUGACAGCACUGAGGUCUACUUUAAAGACGGAUCGGCCCGCAUGGACAUGAUCGCGAUCAGAAGGAUUACCACAGACCUGACCGUGAACACCGUUGACACCCACCUGAGGGAGACGCUGCCUAAGAUCUCAAGGCUGCUUGGUCGUGGUCUUUCUGGCACGUACUCUUCCAAGAUGAGCCGGGAAGUUUAACACUGAUGGAAUGACACCAGGUCUAAGCCGACAAACUUCCAAUUCCUCCUCAACCCAUAGUCUCUGGGAAACCUACAUGGAACCAAAGAACUACAGACUCUUCACAACCUGCUCAAACUCUCAGUACAGGACCUCACCACACGGGUCAAGAAGGUUUCUGCCUCAUUUCUACUCUGAAGAUCACCUUCUCCUGCUCAAACUGUUGGCAAAUGUUUCUGCUGCUCUAAAGUCUGGUCUCCAGAACUUCCUAAAAACUCUCAAAGUCUCUUCUGCUGCAGGUUGCUUUGUAGAACUGUCGCAGAAAACCUCACUAAACCACAUGGAGGGGCCUCAAGAUAGUCGUCCAAAUGAAACCAUACAAAAACCAAACUAGCACAACCCAAACGCUAAAGUCUCCUGCAGCCUACCAGAGAACCUCUGAGAACAGAGAAUCAGGACAGGAACUCUUACCUUCUGGACAACCAACAUUGGUUCUCAAACAAGAAUACAGAAUGUGUCUGACCAAAAACCUCUAAAGACUCACUACAGCCAAGAUAAAGACACAACUCAGCUGUACCAAAUCCACUAAUCACUGCACACAUUAGCACCAUGUGGGUAAAGAACCACAUUUACCAAGACAACUAUCCAGUACAAAGCCCUAAAACACACCAAGAAACACAUUAAAGCCUAUUUUACUGCUGGAAGCUGCAAGCCAACACCUAAAGAACAAACUAAAGCAAUGGAGCCAAACCCGGUUCUGUGGUGAAGAGAAGCAGAGGAAAUGUUUGUCUGCAGCUAAAUAAAGCAGGAAGACACUGAGCUGCUCAGGUGUUCCUGAUAACACCUAGCAGCCACCUGGACAGCCAAUAGGAACACAGCUUACUGGAAGUCCAGAGGGCUGGGUUAGUGAAGUAAAUUUAGUUUCAAGUUGAGGCAGAAAGUUAACAAAGAAAGUUGAAAACCACCUUCUGAUACCUGAAAUCUCUGAGUUUUCACACAAAGAACACCUGAACAUGUCAAACUGGCUUCAUAGUAGAACCAUCAUUGUAAAAACGUCAUAGUAUGGUGUGUUGCUCAAAAAACAUUAGGACCCGGCUGUCAGGGGACAAAUAUGUAAGAAACAUGAGAACAGAGAGAAUCCAACCAGUAGGUCACAGUUUAUCAUCCCCCAGUCAUCUCCUGAAGUCCAUAUGGUGAGAGACAUCAGUAUCUGGUUGUUAAUUUACCAGAGGAUGCUUAUAAUCAUGCUGAUGUGGUCUGUACUCUACAGUAUUUUAGUGACUCAAUAAAUGCCUAAGUUGUUUUUUUUUUAAAUGCUUUUUAGUUUUUAAUAAACAUUUAACAGCCUAUAUGUAAUCAAUAAAUGGCCUUUGCCUAUCUUAAGAAAAACUCACUCAGAACUCUGAUAUGUUAACAGUACUAAAUAAAUCAAUAAAUACAUGCAUACACACAUAAAUAAGUUAAUACAUUAACUGUGUUAAGAUAAGAUUUAGAUUUUUUUAAAAAGUUGUUUAUGUUUUUGCAGAAUCCAGUAUUGCUCACUGGUUGGUCUUUACAUUUUAUUAGUUUGAUUUCACUGUUUAAAAUGAUGCCACCUCUUUUCAGACAGAACCUGUGAUAAUAAAACAAUACAAAAUUUUUAGUUCCGUGUUAAUAAAGCACUUAAAGCUUUAAGUAUGGCUAAAUGUUUUUUUCAAAAUUAAAUAUAUCACUCCUUAGGUGGUAGUGGCCCCAAGUUCAGUAAAGUUGGAAAGAUAUUCACAGAUUCAGACUUCCAGCAUCAAUAACUCAUUAGAUAUAGGUUGUCAAAACAUAAAUGGUGCCUCUUUCCCAUUGUUGCAAGGCAGACAAUGUGCUACAAGCCCAGUUUUAUCAAAAGUAGCUGUCUUUCUAGCUACAGGAAUAACAUUGGUGUCUAUGGAGUGAACAGGGUCCGUCUGCAAUUUGCAAAACUGCUGCAACAGUAAAGAGAGACAAAUAUUCAAUAACUUCACUCUUAUACAUUGUAGUGUCACUGUUUUAACAGAAAUGUAAAGGCUGUAAUUUGAUUCUUUUAAUGAACCAUGUAACUUGAAUGGAUGUGAUGCUGGUGUGACCACAGUGCACACGUCUGAUGUUGCUCACAGUGGUCCAAGGGACGCUCAGGGAGUUUGUGUGUUUGCUCAGACUCAUGAAAAAUUACAGGGAACAUUGUUUGGGACUCAAGCAGUUCCUUCUUUUACUCACUAUCUCCCCAGCCUUAGAAAAAAAACCUGUUCACACAGCACAGAUGAGGCUGAGGUACACAGGAAAUGUUUGGCUCCAUUGUACAAGUUUGGGUAAACGGUUUUGUGGGUUGCCCAGUAAGCCAGUGGGUCUGCCGUUCUUUCUACAAUUGCAUUCGCUGUGGCGCUUUGCAUUUACCAGGCUCUACUUGCGUCUUCGUCUAAUAGGCUCCACAGUUGAACUGAAAAAUAUUGAAGAUCAUCAUCAUCAUCACCAGAAAUGUCAGUCAUUCCCUAUUCAGAAGAGAAAAAGAAUACCUGUGGAAGGUGCUGCUGGUGGUGGAGGACGAGGCUGUGGUGGUGCUUGUGACGUAGAUGACUGCUGCUUGGUAUUCUUUAUGUUAACUGUUGUGCAUUCUGUUAUUAAAUGUUCUUUCACACUG